GACGAACGCUGGCGGCGUGCUUAACACAUGCAAGUCGAGCGGUAAGGCCCUUUCGGGGGUACACGAGCGGCGAACGGGUGAGUAACACGUGGGUGACCUGCCUUUAGCUCUGGGAUAAGCCUGGGAAACUGGGUCUAAUACCGGAUAUGACCCUAUGGCGCAUGUUGUGGGGUGGAAAGCCUUGUGCGGCUAGGGAUGGGCCCGCGGCCUAUCAGCUUGUUGGUGGGGUGAUGGCCUACCAAGGCGACGACGGGUAGCCGGCCUGAGAGGGCGACCGGCCACACUGGGACUGAGACACGGCCCAGACUCCUACGGGAGGCAGCAGUGGGGAAUCUUGCGCAAUGGGCGAAAGCCUGACGCAGCGACGCCGCGUGAGGGAUGACGGCCUCGG
This 391-nucleotide ribosomal RNA is filed under the name uncultured bacterium. Its description in RNAcentral is "bacterial SSU rRNA". It matches the Rfam family "Bacterial small subunit ribosomal RNA", at positions 28 to 420 of the family's 1533-position model. The record is from RNAcentral.